GGGGGCCGCAGGGGAGGACGGCAUUGGGCUAGGGGGCCGCAGGGGAGGACAGUAUUGGGCUAGGGGGGCCGCAGGGGAGGACAGCGUUGGGCUAGGGGGCCGCAGGGGAAGACAGUGUUGGGCUGGGGGGCCACAGGGGAGGACGGCGUUAGGCUAGGGGGCCGCAGGGGAGGACGGCAUUAGGCUAGGGGGCCGCAGGGGAGGACAGCAUUGGGCUAGGGGGCCGCAGGGGAGGACAGCAUUGGGCUAGGGGGCCGCAGGGGAGGACAGUGGUGGGCUAGGGGGCCGCAGGGGAGGACGGCGUUGGGCUGGAGUCUGCAGGGGAGGACGGCGUUAGGCUAGGGGGGUUUAGGGUUUUAGGGUUUUAGGGUUUUAGGGUUUUAGGGUUUUACUU
Molecule: long non-coding RNA, 394 nt
Filed under: Volvox carteri
Lineage: Eukaryota; Viridiplantae; Chlorophyta; Chlorophyceae; Chlamydomonadales; Volvocaceae
Description: long non-coding RNA (VCAR_LNC003764)
Source: RNAcentral